AGUGAACGCUGGCGGUAGGCCUAACACAUGCAAGUCGAACGGCAGCACAGUAAGAGCUUGCUCUUACGGGUGGCGAGUGGCGGACGGGUGAGGAAUACAUCGGAAUCUACUUUUUCGUGGGGGAUAACGUAGGGAAACUUACGCUAAUACCGCAUACGACCUACGGGUGAAAGCAGGGGAUCUUCGGACCUUUCGCGAUUGAAUGAGCCGAUGGCGGAUUAGCUAGUUGGCGGGGUAAAGGCCCACCAAGGCGACGAUCCGUAGCUGGUCUGAGAGGGUGAACACCCACACUGGAAAUGAGACAAGGUCCAGACUACUUCGGGGGGGAGCAGGGGGGAAUAUUGGGCAAUGGGGGCAAGCCUGAUCCAGCACAACCGGGGGGGGGAAGAAGGCCUUCGGGUGGGUAAGCCCUUUUGGUGGGAAAGAAAAACAGCAGGUUAAUACCCCGCGGUUCUGACGGUACCCAAAGAAUAAGCACCGGCUAACUUCGUG
Molecule: ribosomal RNA, 492 nt
Filed under: uncultured bacterium
Lineage: Bacteria
Description: partial 16S ribosomal RNA
Rfam family: Bacterial small subunit ribosomal RNA
Source: RNAcentral